This 376-nucleotide long non-coding RNA is filed under the name Felis catus (domestic cat). RNAcentral's name for it is "lncRNA (ENSFCAG00000050558.1)". Lineage: Eukaryota; Metazoa; Chordata; Mammalia; Carnivora; Felidae. The record is from RNAcentral.
UCAGUGGGCACAUUUAAAUAAAAGACAUCAAUAAUAAAUGAUUACUGUGUGGAUUAUAGUGUUACCUACAGAAUGUGCUGAUAUAUUCCCAGGUAGGGCUUUGUUUAGGAAUCCCAGGUUCAGAGAGGCUAAAUUCCACAAAAUCGCAUGCCUUGAACAUACUGAAUUCCAAAGACUGCCAGCUGCCUUCCACUGUAAUGGAGCCCCUGGUAUAUCCUUCACCCGAGAAAUUUUGGAUUUCAACAAGAGAACCAUUUUCCUGAAUAACAACAAUGAUGGGAAAGUGAGCAUACACAGAUCUUAUUUUAUAACGGAAGCCCUCUGUAACACUCUUGAUCAUGUUCCAUAUUUUCAAUAAAAAUUAUGGAAAAUAAUA